RNAcentral lists this ribosomal RNA (390 nucleotides) under uncultured bacterium. RNAcentral's name for it is "bacterial SSU rRNA". It matches the Rfam family "Bacterial small subunit ribosomal RNA", at positions 32 to 433 of the family's 1533-position model. The record is from RNAcentral.
AAUCAACGCUGGCGGCGUGCCUAACACAUGCAAGUCGCACGAGAAAGGGACUUCGGUCCUGAGUACAGUGGCGCACGGGUGAGUAACACGUGAAUCAUCUACCUUCGAGUGGGGAAUAACUGAGAGAAAUCUUAGCUAAUACCGCAUAAUACCUACGGGUCAAAGCAGCAAUGCGCUUGAAGAGGAGUUCGCGGCAGAUUAGUUAGUUGGCAGGGUAAGGCCUACCAAGACGAUGAUCUGUAUCCGGCCUGAGAGGGCGCACGGACACACUGGAACUGAAACACGGUCCAGACUCCUACGGGAGGCAGCAGUGGGGAAUUUUGCGCAAUGGGGGAAACCCUGACGCAGCAACGCCGCGUGGAGGAUGAAAUCCCUUGGGAUGUAAACUCC